AUGGCAAUAUUUUGACUUCGGAUACUUUUGAGUUGCCGUAGACCUGUCUUCAAUGCCUUUCCCCCCACAGGCGACGUUGACUACAGCACCGUGCUCCUUGGCAUGCUGGUGACGCAGGACGUGCAGCUCGGGCUCUUCAUGGCCGUCAUGCCGACUCUUAUACAGGCGGGCGCCAGUGCAUCUUCUAGGUCACGGAGCUGCUGGAUGUAUCCAUGGAGCUGGGCUGUUUCCUGGCCGGAGCACUCAUCUCCUCUCAGGGCCCCGUGGUCACCGAGAUCGCCACCUCCAUCGAACCCAUCCGCGACUUCCUG
Molecule: small RNA, 311 nt
Filed under: Pongo abelii (Sumatran orangutan)
Lineage: Eukaryota; Metazoa; Chordata; Mammalia; Primates; Hominidae
Description: processed transcript
Source: RNAcentral